RNAcentral lists this ribosomal RNA (253 nucleotides) under uncultured bacterium. Its description in RNAcentral is "partial 16S ribosomal RNA". It matches the Rfam family "Bacterial small subunit ribosomal RNA", at positions 524 to 776 of the family's 1533-position model. The record is from RNAcentral.
UACGGAGGGAGCUAGCGUUGUUCGGAAUUACUGGGCGUAAAGCGUACGUAGGCGGUUAUUCAAGUCAGAGGUGAAAGCCCGGGGCUCAACCCCGGAACUGCCUUUGAAACUAGAUAACUUGAAUCUUGGAGAGGUCAGUGGAAUUCCGAGUGUAGAGGUGAAAUUCGUAGAUAUUCGGAAGAACACCAGUGGCGAAGGCGACUGACUGGACAAGCAUUGACGCUGAGGUACGAAAGCGUGGGGAGCAAACAGG